RNAcentral lists this ribosomal RNA (253 nucleotides) under uncultured bacterium. RNAcentral's name for it is "partial 16S ribosomal RNA". It matches the Rfam family "Bacterial small subunit ribosomal RNA", at positions 524 to 776 of the family's 1533-position model. The record is from RNAcentral.
UACGUAGGGUGCGAGCGUUAAUCGGAAUUACUGGGCGUAAAGCGUGCGCAGGCGGCCAUGCAAGACAGAUGUGAAAUCCCCGGGCUCAACCUGGGAAUGGCAUUGGAAACUGGCGGACUCGAGUGUGGCAGAGGGGGGUGGAAUUCCGCGUGUAGCAGUGAAAUGCGUAGAGAUGCGGAGGAACACCGAUGGCGAAGGCAGCCCCCUGGGCUAACACUGACGCUCAGGCACGAAAGCGUGGGGAGCAAACAGG